GCUGUGAAAUCCGGAGGCUCAACCUCCGGCCUGCAGUGGGUACGGGCAGACUAGAGUGCGGUAGGGGAGAUUGGAAUUCCUGGUGUAGCGGUGGAAUGCGCAGAUAUCAGGAGGAACACCGAUGGCGAAGGCAGAUCUCUGGGCCGUAACUGACGCUGAGGAGCGAAAGGGUGGGGAGCAAACAGGCUUAGAUACCCUGGUAGUCCACCCCGUAAACGUUGGGAACUAGUUGUGGGGUCCAUUCCACGGAUUCCGUGACGCAGCUAACGCAUUAAGUUCCCCGCCUGGGGAGUACGGCCGCAAGGCUAAAACUCAAAGGAAUUGACGGGGACCCGCACAAGCGGCGGAGCAUGCGGAUUAAUUCGAUGCAACGCGAAGAACCUUACCAAGGCUUGACAUAUACGAGAACGGGCCAGAAAUGGUCAACUCUUUGGACACUCGUAAACAGGUGGUGCAUGGUUGUCGUCAGCUCGUGUCGUGAGAUGUUGGGUUAAGUCCCGCAACGAGCGCAACCCUCGUUCUAUGUUGCCAGCACGUAAUGGUGGGAACUCAUGGGAUACUGCCGGGGUCAACUCGGAGGAAGGUGGGGAUGACGUCAAAUCAUCAUGCCCCUUAUGUCUUGGGCUUCACGCAUGCUACAAUGGCCGGUACAAAGGGCUGCAAUACCGCGAGGUGGAGCGAAUCCCAAAAAGCCGGUCCCAGUUCGGAUUGAGGUCUGCAACUCGACCUCAUGAAGUCGGAGUCGCUAGUAAUCGCAGAUCAGCAACGCUGCGGUGAAUACGUUCCCGGGUCUUGUACACACCGCCCGUCAAGUCAUGAAAGUCGGUAACACCUGAAGCCGGUGGCCUAACCCUUGUGGAGGGAGC
This 866-nucleotide ribosomal RNA is filed under the name bacterium. RNAcentral's name for it is "bacterial SSU rRNA". It matches the Rfam family "Bacterial small subunit ribosomal RNA", at positions 591 to 1453 of the family's 1533-position model. The record is from RNAcentral.